CAUCAGUCGAGGAAGACAUAUCCUCAGCUGUGUUUUGGAAAACAGACGUUGGUUGCAUAGCCACAAGGAGCCUCACUUUGCUGUGUUCUAAACAACCACUUUUAGUGGCGGCCCAUGAGAAGCAGCCAUGAGCGUGCCCGACUACAUGCAGUGUGCUGAGGACCACCAGACGGUGUUGGUGGUGGUGCAGCCGGUCGGCAUCGUGCCGGAGGAGCAGUUCUUCCGCAUCUACAAACGCAUCGCCAGCGUCA
This is a long non-coding RNA of Engraulis encrasicolus (European anchovy), 251 nucleotides long. RefSeq lists it as uncharacterized. The record is from RefSeq and is a predicted model, not a curated record. The transcript has 3 exons. Lineage: Eukaryota; Metazoa; Chordata; Actinopteri; Clupeiformes; Engraulidae.